This is a long non-coding RNA of Nomascus leucogenys (northern white-cheeked gibbon), 1089 nucleotides long. RefSeq lists it as uncharacterized. The transcript is spliced from 2 exons. The record is from RefSeq and is a predicted model, not a curated record. Lineage: Eukaryota; Metazoa; Chordata; Mammalia; Primates; Hylobatidae.
GAAGGACAAGCCGGCUGGAGUCAUGGCUUCUUGGUGUUUCUUGUAGAAAUCAAAAGUGCGGAAGGUCCGCUGGGCCAGCUGAUAGCUGAGAAGAUGGAGAGUGUGUGAGAGUGGGGAGUGGGGCACCAAAGCCCCUCACCCCUCCACCCCAACAGGACAGAGGAGGCAGCCAAGCUCUGUGAACGCCUGGACAUACUGCAAACAUGGGAAGUGGGCUGGAGGAGCUCCUAGUGGGGGACGGAGCUCCAGAAAGCAUCAACUUGACAGCAAGGCCAUGCAGCCUGCUUCCAGGCCCCGGGAGCCAGGGGGUCAGCCACAGUCACUGAGGCUAGAAACCAUGCCACUUUUGGCUGCUUUUCCCUCUGCAUCUUGAAGUCUCCAGGACCUUCUCAGGGAGUCUGUGCCCAGCCUGGCACAGGGGCGGCGAACGCCUCAGGCAUAACUCCCCAGAGGGUCCUGCCGCACAGGCUGGUAACUACAGUUGAAUAAAAAUGACAGAAACCAGCCUGCCAGUCCCUGUCCCCAGUUAACCGCAAGGCUCAAAGUUGGGGUCACUGGCCUGACCUCUGCCCCCUGGCCUGGUGUUCAGAGCCAAAAGCUACCAAGAUAGAAGGCAGCCCAGUCUGGGCCCAGGGAAGGAGCACCCAGUGGUUCAAGGAGCACCUGGGAGACGCCACAGCUGCCAGGCCUCUCCCGCUCCUUCUCCCAUGUGACUGUCACAGUCCACCUUACGUUGAAUAAGGCACGUGGUGCCAUUAUCCCAGUUCUACAGGUGAAGAAAUGAGUUUAGAGAGACGAAGGGGCCAGGCAUGGUGGCUCACACUUGUAAUCCUAGCACUUUGGGAGGCAGAGGCGGGCAGAUCACUUGAGCUCAGGAGACCAGCCUGGGCAACAUGGUGAAACCCUGUCUCUAUAAAAAAAUACAAAAAUUAGCUGGGUGUAGUGGUUUGCACCUGUAGUCCCAGCUACUCAGGAGACUGAGGUGGGAGAAGCACCUGAGCCCAGGAGUUAGCGGCUGCAAUUAGCCAUGACUGCACCACUGUACUCCAGCCUGGGGGACAGAGUGAGACCCUGUCUCAAAAAAAAAAA